AACGAACGCUGGCGGCAUGCCUAACACAUGCAAGUCGAACGAGACCUUCGGGUCUAGUGGCGCACGGGUGCGUAACGGGUGGGAACCUGCCCUUAGGUUCGGAAUAACUACCCGAAAGGGGGGAUAAUACCGGAUAAUGUCUUGGGACCAAAGAUUUAUCGCCUUUGGAUGGGCCCGCGUUGGAUUAGCUAGUUGGUAGGGUAAAAGCCUACCAAGGCGACGAUCCAUAGCUGGUCUGAGAGGAUGAUCAGCCACACUGGGACUGAGACACGGCCCAGACUCCUACGGGAGGCAGCAGUGGGGAAUAUUGGACAAUGGGCGAAAGCCUGAUCCAGCAAUGCCGCGUGAGUGAUGAAGGCCUUAGGGUUGUAAAGCUCUUUUACCCGGGAUGAUAAUGACAGUACCGGGAGAAUAAGCUCCGGCUAACUCCGUG
Molecule: ribosomal RNA, 433 nt
Filed under: uncultured bacterium
Lineage: Bacteria
Description: partial 16S ribosomal RNA
Rfam family: Bacterial small subunit ribosomal RNA
Source: RNAcentral